GACGAACGCUGGCGGCGUGCUUAACACAUGCAAGUCGAACGGAAAGGCCCUGCUUUUGUGGGGUGCUCGAAUGGCGAACGGGUGAGUAACACGUGAGUAACCUGCCCUUGACUGUGGGAUAACUUCAGGAAACUGGGGCUAAUACCGGAUAGGAGCUCCUGCUGCAUGGUGGGGGUUGGAAAGUUUCGGCGGUUGGGGAUGGACUCGCGGCUUAUCAGCUUGUUGGUGGGGUAGUGGCUUACCAAGGCUUUGCCGGGUAGCCGGGCUGAGAGUGUGACCCGACACAUAGGGACUGAGGUACGGCCCAGAGUACUACGGGAGGCAGCAGUGGGGAAUAUUGCACAAUGGGCGGAAGCCGGAUGCAGCAACGCCGCGUGCGGGAUGACGGCCUUCGGGUUGUAAACCGCUUUCGCCUGUGACGAAGCGUGAGUGACGGUAAUGGGUAAAGAAGCACCGGCUAACUACGUG
This 468-nucleotide ribosomal RNA is filed under the name uncultured bacterium. RNAcentral describes it as "partial 16S ribosomal RNA". It matches the Rfam family "Bacterial small subunit ribosomal RNA", at positions 28 to 507 of the family's 1533-position model. The record is from RNAcentral.